This 287-nucleotide long non-coding RNA is filed under the name Mytilus galloprovincialis (Mediterranean mussel). The record is from RNAcentral. Lineage: Eukaryota; Metazoa; Mollusca; Bivalvia; Mytilida; Mytilidae.
AAUUUAUAAAAAUUACCAUAAAAUUGAUAUGUAUGUCAACACCGAAAUGCUGACAGACCCAAACUAAAAACAAAUCUGAUAUAUUUUCAUCUUUCGUUGUGAUAUAAAAGUCGCUUCAGUGCCCUUGUAUUUAUCUUCCAAGAAAACGAAAAUUACAGAAAUUUUACAGAACGAUACAUGACUUACACAUUUACAAACACACAACAAAAUGAAUAUGAAGAUAUACAUGCAUAAAAUUAAAAAAGAAUCACAAAGAUAAAAUAAGGACAAAUAUAUAUAAAUGGCAC